RNAcentral lists this ribosomal RNA (417 nucleotides) under uncultured bacterium. RNAcentral's name for it is "bacterial SSU rRNA". It matches the Rfam family "Bacterial small subunit ribosomal RNA", at positions 355 to 786 of the family's 1533-position model. The record is from RNAcentral.
UGGGGAAUAUUGGGCAAUGGGCGCAAGCCUGACCCAGCAACGCCGCGUGAAGGAAGAAGGCUUUCGGGUUGUAAACUUCUUUUCUGAGGGACGAGGCAAGUGACGGUACCUUAGGAAUAAGCCACGGCUAACUACGUGCCAGCAGCCGCGGUAAUACGUAGGGAGCAAGCGUUGUCCGGAUUUACUGGGUGUAAAGGGUGCGUAGGCGGCUUUGCAAGUCAGAUGUGAAAUCUAUGGGCUCAACCCAUAAACUGCAUUUGAAACUGUAGAGCUUGAGUGAAGUAGAGGCAGGCGGAAUUCCCCGUGUAGCGGUGAAAUGCGUAGAGAUGGGGAGGAACACCAGUGGCGAAGGCGGCCUGCUGGGCUUUAACUGACGCUGAGGCACGAAAGCGUGGGUAGCAAACAGGAUUAGAUACC